This 798-nucleotide long non-coding RNA is filed under the name Heterocephalus glaber (naked mole-rat). RNAcentral's name for it is "lncRNA (ENSHGLG00100041190.1)". The record is from RNAcentral. Lineage: Eukaryota; Metazoa; Chordata; Mammalia; Rodentia; Bathyergidae.
CACCGGGAGCCCCGGCCCGACCCGGCCGAGGUUCGGCCCCAAGGCGGCGACACAGCACUCCGCCCGCGGCGCGCUCUCGGCGCGGGGCCGACUCCAGCUUUGUCUCGCGAGGGGACCCCUCGGCCGUGGGCCGCGCCGGGCCUCCCGGCGGCGCCGGCUGCUUCUCUUCGCGCCGCGACAGGCCCCCCCCCCACCGGACCAGACCAGACCAGACCAGACCAGAGGCGGCGUCUGGACGAGAGCGGCGGGCGGACGGAGCUUGCAGUGCUCGCAGCUGCUGUUUCCAGGAUGUCCUUCUCUGUCAGGCUGCAAUCUCCAGGACAAAAAGCCCACAGGACUUUUGCUCAGUGGAGCUCAGUCUGCAGAAACACUCUGUCAUUUGCAGCUGUUUCCUUGCCGCCGGGUUAGCUCUGGAGUCCCCAAAGAGUCAGAUGGGAUGAGAAGACUCGCUGUUCCCCAGGCACCUGGGAACUGCUGCCAGGGGACAAUAAAGCAGGAUGCAAGUUGGAUUCCUAGCAGAUUUUUAAACAUUGAAUAAAGGAUUUUAUUAACAUUACCCAUAAUUCCAAAUUUCCUGAGACCCCAUGCUCCUGUGUGGCCAGUCAGUGAUGCUCCAAGCGUGGGGGUACACAGGUAACCGGAAAACCCCAAACCUUCGCCAGGGUCCCCCAGUGGAGGCUCUCUUCAUGGCCCUCUCGCCCUUAUGACUGUGGGGACUGGCGUGCUGCACCCAACACACACAGCCCCACCCGAUGGUCGUCACGGAUCCGCCCUGCCACCUGCUCCCGGUGAGGACCA